CACCUUGUGUGCAAUGUUGUGCUAGAGAUCCUCGGAUCUCUUGCACCUACACCAACCUAAUAACCUUGAACCACUUUGUCUGAAAAACUAUUAUGAAUACUUAAUUCAAAAUACAACUUUCAACAACGGAUCUCUUGGCUCUCGCAUCGAUGAAGAACGCAGCGAAAUGCGAUACGUAAUGUGAAUUGCAGAAUUCAGUGAAUCAUCGAAUCUUUGAACGCACAUUGCACUCUCUGGUAUUCCGGAGAGUAUGCUUGUUUGAGUAUCAGUAAACACCUCAACUCUCUUCUCUCUCGAGAAGUGAAUUGGACUUGAGCAAUCCCAACUCUUUGCAAAAAGAGGCGGGUUGCUUGAAAUGCAGGUGCAGCUGGACAUUCUUCUGAGCUAAAAGCNUAUUUAUUUAGUCCCGUCAAACGGAUUAUUACUUUUUGCUCUAGCUAACAUAAAGGUCGAUUUGUUCUCUAUGCUGACUGAUGCAGGAUUACCAAGGGUCUCUAGUAGACACUUGUAAACUCGAUCUCAAAUCAAGUAAGACUACCCGCUGAACUUAAGCAUAUCAAUAAGCGGAGGAAAAGAAACUAACAAGGAUUCCCCUAGUAACGGCGAGUGAAGCGGGAUGAGCUCAAAUUUAAAAUCUGGCUGGUUUACUAGUCCG
Molecule: ribosomal RNA, 655 nt
Filed under: uncultured fungus
Lineage: Eukaryota; Fungi
Description: eukaryotic LSU rRNA
Rfam family: 5.8S ribosomal RNA (bases 115-268)
Source: RNAcentral